GAUGAACGCUAGCGAUAGGCCUAACACAUGCAAGUCGAGGGGCAUCACAUGAAGUAGCAAUACGGAUGGUGGCGACCGGCGCACGGGUGAGUAACACGUAUGCAACCUGCCUUUCAACAAGGGGAUAACCCGUUGAAAGACGGACUAAUACCCUAUAACACAGGGGUCCCGCAUGGGAAUAUUUGUUAAAGGACAACCGGUUGAAGAUGGGCAUGCGUUCCAUUAGCUAGUUGGCGGGGUAACGGCCCACCAAGGCAACGAUGGAUAGGGGAACUGAGAGGUUUAUCCCCCACACUGGUACUGAGACACGGACCAGACUCCUACGGGAGGCAGCAGUGAGGAAUAUUGGUCAAUGGGCGAGAGCCUGAACCAGCCAAGUCGCGUGCAGGAAGAAUGUCCUAUGGAUUGUAAACUGCUUUUGCAGGGGAAUAAAGUGAGCCACGUGGGUUUUUUGUAUGUACUCUGCGAAU
Molecule: ribosomal RNA, 470 nt
Filed under: uncultured bacterium
Lineage: Bacteria
Description: bacterial SSU rRNA
Rfam family: Bacterial small subunit ribosomal RNA
Source: RNAcentral